UAGAAGUAAUCUCCCUCUUAUUCAAGCUAAUGGAGAAGCAAACAAGCCUGUUUCCUUAUUCUUUGACAAAGCCGUGUGUGCAAGUCAUGAGAAUGGAGAAGAAUCCAAAUUCAAACAAAACAAAAGUAGCUCGGAUGCUUGUAGAAGCAUUGUUUCAGAAAAAAUGGUGACAAGUACAAAUGGAGAUCAGAAUGAUUUUAUGUUAGAGGAAAGAGGAUAUACAAGAAAA
RNAcentral lists this unclassified non-coding RNA (229 nucleotides) under Hevea brasiliensis (rubber tree). Lineage: Eukaryota; Viridiplantae; Streptophyta; Magnoliopsida; Malpighiales; Euphorbiaceae. The record is from RNAcentral.